This 468-nucleotide ribosomal RNA is filed under the name uncultured bacterium. RNAcentral describes it as "partial 16S ribosomal RNA". It matches the Rfam family "Bacterial small subunit ribosomal RNA", at positions 28 to 507 of the family's 1533-position model. The record is from RNAcentral.
GACGAACGCUGGCGGCGUGCUUAACACAUGCAAGUCGAACGGAAAGGCCCUGCUUUUGUGGGGUGCUCGAGUGGCGAACGGGUGAGUAACACGUGAGUAACCUGCCCUUGACUUUGGGAUAACUUCAGGAAACUGGGGCUAAUACCGGAUAGGAGCUCCUGCUGCAUGGUGGGGGUUGGAAAGUUUCGGCGGCUGGGGAUGGACUCGCGGCUUAUCAGCUUGUUGGUGGGGUAGUGGCUUACCAAGGCUUUGACGGGUAGCCGGCCUGAGAGGGUGACCGGCCACAUUGGGACUGAGAUACGGCCCAGACUCCUACGGGAGGCAGCAGUGGGGAAUAUUGCACAAUGGGCGGAAGCCUGAUGCAGCAACGCCGCGUGCGGGAUGACGGCCCUCGGGUUGUAAACCGCUUUCGCCUGUGACGAAGCGUGAGUGACGGUAAUGGGUAAAGAAGCACCGGCUAACUACGUG